GGGCCUUAUCUUAGAGCCCGCCAGGAGUUUCCCAGUGUUGCAAAGCAUCUUUAGUUUGAUAAUUGAAGGUCUUGGAUCAUUUUAAUGAGAUAGCAACAUGAUAACCGUUGGUUUGGGGAGCUGUCACAAUGCCAGACUGAAGACUAUGUGCCUUAUUGAAGGAGAAUGUAGCUUUUAUUGUGUUUCUUUAAAAUAUAAGUAAAUAAGUAAAGCAUUUCUAUAUCUCAAAACCAGAUCAGAGCUGUUAUGAAGCUCAUUGAUAAAGUUGUCUGAGAUGAGAUGCAAGACAUACCUGAGGAGAGGAGAAAACCAAAACCCUAUGAAUUUUUACCAACCAACCCAAGAAGUCAGAGCCCUGAAGAGGAAACAUCUCAGGAAUCACAUGAAACAUAGCUGGUAAAGAGCUACUGGACUACAGAAGGAGGAGUUGGGAUAAGCCAUGGUCUAAGGCUCUCCUGCCUUUUGUCUGUGCCUCCACAUUGGAAAUUCUUUCAAGCAUUUCUAUAUCCAUGAAGGCACUCCUGAUCCAUGAAGUCACUGCUGAUGGGUUUCAGAAGGACACAUUCCAAGACCUCCUAGAUACCUAUGAGACAGUUUUAUGCUGUGGACUGCUCUUUAAUCCACAUGGAGAAACCCUGCUGAGGUCCUCAUGACAUUGUCUAUAAAAAGGAGACUCUAAUGAAUGCCAUGCAGAGUUUAAUAAGUCAAACCAGUAAUAAAGAAGCAUGAAUAUACUGAUAUUUUAUUUUUAAAAGGGAUGAAUGCUACAGGUGAUGUAUUCAUUGAGUCUGAUUUCCAAACUUCCAUACUAAUUCUGGAAAGAGUUUUUCCAUCUCCUACACAUCUCCUGCAUGUGCUGUGCCUGAUUAGAAUCAUCUGAACUGGAAAAAGGAUGUCUGUUAAAUUAAAAGACAUUUGAGGAGAAAGAAUAUCAUUCCUUUUGUCUGCCAGGAGAUGUCAGUGUUUACUUCUGCCCAGUGAAAGUAAUGCUAAGGUUACAAAAAGGUUGCCAAAUUUUUCAUUAAUGAGGGAAGAUAUCUAUUGCAUUAUUAAAUAAAUAAAAACGUUGGAUUGCACUGUAAGAAAA
Long non-coding RNA from Haemorhous mexicanus (house finch), 1087 nucleotides. RefSeq lists it as uncharacterized. The transcript has 2 exons. Lineage: Eukaryota; Metazoa; Chordata; Aves; Passeriformes; Fringillidae. The record is from RefSeq and is a predicted model, not a curated record.